CCAGAGAACUUAGCAGAGAUGCUUUGGUGCCUUCGGGAACUCUGAGACAGGUGCUGCAUGGCUGUCGUCAGCUCGUGUUGUGAAAUGUUGGGUUAAGUCCCGCAACGAGCGCAACCCUUAUCCUUUGUUGCCAGCGGCUCGGCCGGGAAACUCAAAGGAGACUGCCGGUGAUAAACCGGAGGAAGGUGGGGAUGACGUCAAGUCAUCAUGGCCCUUACGGCCAGGGCUACACACGUGCUACAAUGGCGCAUACAAAGAGAAGCGACCUCGCGAGAGCAAGCGGACCUCAUAAAGUGCGUCGUAGUCCGGAUUGGAGUCUGCAACUCGACUCCAUGAAGUCGGAAUCGCUAGUAAUCGUAGAUCAGAAUGCUACGGUGAAUACGUUCCCGGGCCUUGUACACACCGCCCGUCACACCAUGGGAGUGGGUUGCAAAAGAAGUAGGUAGCUUAACCUUCGGGAGGGCGCUUACCACUUUGUGAUUCAUGACUGGGGUGAAGUCGUAACAAGGUAAGCGUAGCGAG
This 522-nucleotide ribosomal RNA is filed under the name uncultured bacterium. RNAcentral describes it as "bacterial SSU rRNA". It matches the Rfam family "Bacterial small subunit ribosomal RNA", at positions 988 to 1509 of the family's 1533-position model. The record is from RNAcentral.